This 73-nucleotide ribosomal RNA is filed under the name Frullania sp. B BlS-2016. Its description in RNAcentral is "partial 26S ribosomal RNA". It matches the Rfam family "Eukaryotic large subunit ribosomal RNA", at positions 1 to 73 of the family's 3401-position model. The record is from RNAcentral. Lineage: Eukaryota; Viridiplantae; Streptophyta; Jungermanniopsida; Porellales; Frullaniaceae.
UGGACCUCAGAUCAGGCAAGAUCMCCCGCUGAGUUUAAGCAUAUCACUAAGCGGAGGAAAAGAAGCUAUCGCA